RNAcentral lists this ribosomal RNA (496 nucleotides) under uncultured bacterium. Its description in RNAcentral is "partial 16S ribosomal RNA". It matches the Rfam family "Bacterial small subunit ribosomal RNA", at positions 30 to 523 of the family's 1533-position model. The record is from RNAcentral.
AUUGAACGCUGGCGGAAUGCUUUACACAUGCAAGUCGAACGGUAGAGGGGGCAACCCCUCGAGAGUGGCGAACGGGUGAGUAAUAUAUCGGAACGUGCCCAGUCGUGGGGGAUAACGUAGCGAAAGUUACGCUAAUACCGCAUACGAUCUAAGGAUGAAAGCGGGGGAUCGCAAGACCUCGCGCGAUUGGAGCGGCCGAUAUCAGAUUAGGUAGUUGGUGGGGUAAAGGCUCACCAAGCCAACGAUCUGUAGCUGGUCUGAGAGGACGACCAUCCACACUGGAACGAGGUAACGGUCCAGACGCGUACGGGAGGCGGCAGUGGGGAAUUUUGGACAAUGGACGCAAGUCUGAUCCGGCCAUUCCGCGUGCAGGAUGAAGGCCUUCGGGUUGUAAACUGCUUUUGUACGGAACGAAAAGGUCUCUCUUAAUACGGGGGGCUCAUGACGGUACCGUAAGAAUAAGCACCGGCUAACUACGUGCCAGCCGCCGCCGUAA